Molecule: ribosomal RNA, 460 nt
Filed under: uncultured bacterium
Lineage: Bacteria
Description: partial 16S ribosomal RNA
Rfam family: Bacterial small subunit ribosomal RNA
Source: RNAcentral
CCUACGGGAGGCAGCAGUGAGGAAUAUUGGUCAAUGGACGAGAGUCUGAACCAGCCAAGUAGCGUGAAGGAUGACUGCCCUAUGGAUUGUAAACUUCUUUUAUAAAGGAAUAAAAGGAGGCACGUGUGCCUUUUUGCAUGUACUUUAUGAAUAAGGAUCGGCUAACUCCGUGCCAGCAGCCGCGGUAAUACGGAGGAUCCGAGCGUUAUCCGGAUUUAUUGGGGUUAAAGGGAGCGUAGAUGGGUUGUUAAGUCAGUUGUGAAAGUUUGGGGCUCAACCGUAAAAUUGCAAUUGAUACUGGCAGUCUUGAGUACAAGUGAGGUAGGCGGAAUUCGUGGUGUAGCGGUGAAAUGCUUAGAUAUCACGAAGAACCCCGAUUGCGAAGGCAGCUUACUAAACUGUUACUGACACUGAUGCUCGAAAGUGUGGGGAUCAAACAGGAUUAGAUACCCUAGUAGUC